ACGGAUCGCAUUACGGCCUUUUGGUCGGCGAUGGAUCAUUCAAGUUUCUGACCUAUCAGCUUUCGACGGUACUGUAUUUGGACUACCGUGGCAGUGACGGGUAACGGGGAAUUAGGGUUCGAUUCCGGAGAGGGAGCCUGAGAAACGGCUACCACAUCUAAGGAAGGCAGCAGGCGCGCAAAUUACCCAAUCCUGACUCAGGGAGGUAGUGACAAGAAAUAACAACACUGGAAAUUUUAUUUCUAGUGAUUGGAAUGAUGGGAAUCCAAACCCCUUUCAGAGUAACAAUUGGAGGGCAAGUCUGGUGCCAGCAGCCGCGGUAAUUCCAGCUCCAAUAGCGUAUAUUAAAGUUGUUGCAGUUAAAAAGCUCGUAGUUGGAUAUCUGCUGGAAGCAGCCAGUCCGCCCUUUGUGGGUGUGCACUUGGUGAAUUCUGGCAUCCUCCUGAUUGGUGUUACCAUCACUUGAUUGUGUUGGUGGCAGCUGUCAGGACUGUUACUUUGAGAAAAUUAGAGUGUUUCAAGCAGGCUUGUUGCCUUGAAUACUGCAGCAUGGAAUAACAAGAUAGGAUUUCGGUUCUAUUUUGUUGGUUUCUAGGACUGAAGUAAUGAUUAAUAGGGACAGUUGGGGGCAUUCGUAUUUAACUGUCAGAGGUGAAAUUCUUAGAUUUGUUAAAGACGAACUACUGCGAAAGCAUUUGCCAAAGAUGUUUUCAUUAAUCAAGAACGAAAGUUAGGGGCUCGAAGACGAUCAGAUACCGUCGUAGUCUUAACCAUAAACUAUGCCGACUAGAGAUAGGAAAACGUCAUCCUUGACUUCUCUG
RNAcentral lists this ribosomal RNA (821 nucleotides) under Sarcocystis sp. RNAcentral's name for it is "SSU rRNA". It matches the Rfam family "Eukaryotic small subunit ribosomal RNA", at positions 260 to 1082 of the family's 1831-position model. Lineage: Eukaryota; Apicomplexa; Conoidasida; Eucoccidiorida; Sarcocystidae. The record is from RNAcentral.